ACUCCACGCUCUCUCCCCUUCUCUCCCGUAGAACGAACAUCAGGAGACAAGUUUUAUUUCAAUGUCAGAGGUAAAAAGGGGCAGAAAGAUGGAGGAUCAGGAAGAAGCGAAGCCAGUAGUUAGAGUGGCAGCCAUAUCUGGGUCUCUUCAUAAACAUUCCAACCACCGAGGCCUCAUUCGUGCCGCAAUCCAACUAUGCGAGGACUCGAUCGACAGCAUGCAAAUUGAGCACAUAGAGAUCGAGCAGCUACCGAUGCUAAAUACAGAUCUUGAAGACAAGGGAACUUACCCACCAGUG
Molecule: long non-coding RNA, 298 nt
Organism: Juglans microcarpa x Juglans regia
Lineage: Eukaryota; Viridiplantae; Streptophyta; Magnoliopsida; Fagales; Juglandaceae
Exons: 2
Source: RefSeq, a predicted model, not a curated record